CAAUUCCAUAGCAAUAUUGCAUAUUAAGGUUAGUACAAACUUGAGACACUUAUUUUUGGACGGAGGGAGUAUUUGAUAGUAUAUAUGUUGAUAUAUUGCGCGCUCCCGCAAGCCUAGCCCGCAGCACGCUCCCGCAAGCCUAGCCGCGCCGGUGACCACCCCUUCCCGCGCCGCUCACCACUUCGGUGGCGGCGGCCACCGUCCCCUUCUCCCGUUGCCAUGGCUUCGCGGGUUUCCCUUUCGGGCUCCUCUUCCUCGGAGUCCUCCCCUGCUCUCCCGUCCCCGCCGGCGUCGCGGGCGCGGGCGCGGGCCCCCUCCCCACCUCCGCAGGUCCGCCUCCAGCCGCGGUCCAUCAUCGUCCCUCUGGUGGUCGGCACGGCUUUUGGCCCGCUGAUCCAGGGUGGUGGGGCGGGCCCUCUGGAGGACCGCCGCCGCCGGGUGCUGGGGGCUGGCAGGUGAAGCGGAGUCGCCGUCCGCGGGGCCGUCCGUCCCGGCUGCCCCAACGACGUCGGAACCCUCCCCGGCAGCGCGUGCUCGCUGCACCUCGGCCGCCGCCAACCUCGAGGGUGCCGGUUGAGCUCCUGCUGCUACAACUGCGGUAGCAACGACGGGCACAUCUCGGUGGAAUGCAGGAAUCCCAGUUUCUGCGUGCGGUGCCGUGGGCACGGCCACAGCUCGCGGGGUUGCACCCGCCCCUCAGUCCUUCCCCGGUCGACCAGCCGCCGCGCCCUCCUCCUGCUCUGCGUUCCAGGGCGGCGGCUCCCGCAACCCCGGCCCCAUCCCCGUCGCGAGUUUCGCCCAUGCGCCCCUGUGCGGUUCUGCCUCCCCCACCUCCUGGCCCCCCUCCGCCCGGGGCUGUCCGGCUGCGGAGCCAUGUCGUGCAGGCGCCGCAGGCGAGGACGGCGGAGUCCGUGGCGAGCCGCGUUGGCCCGGGUUUCUUGGCCCCCUUUGGGAGCGUGGGUGUGCCCUUGCCGCGGGUGGAUCUUGGCUCGUCGGAGUCGGUGGAGGCAUGCUUUCUGGAGGCCUCUGAGGAUAUCUGGCGGAUGGAGGCGGAGCUCACCCGGGCGGUGCUGGUGUCGGUCACGGGCGUGCGCCCGGAGGUGGAUUUGGCGUCGGCAGCGGAAGCGCUGCACGCGGAGUUUGAGGUUGGCCCUGAGGCCAUGUCCAUUCGGCCCUUCUUCCCCGACGAUUUCCUUGUGCUCUGCCGUGAUGGAGCGCUUCGUGAUCGCAUGGUGCGCUCCGGUCGGGCGUCUUCUUCCUGGUUCGACCUCUCCCUCAGGCCAUGGAUCCGGCAGGCGCAAGCCACGGCGGUCUUCCUCCCCUACCUCGUGCCGAUCUCUCUUCGGGGUGUGCCCGCCCAUGCGUGGUGUCAGAGGCCGGCGAGUGCGGUCCUGCGGGGCCUUGGCUUCGUGGUGGGCGUGGAUGAUGGCACGGCCAGGCGCCAUGACAUGGCAGAUUUCCGCGUCUGGCUGCGCACGGACCGGCCGCAACAGAUCCCGCGGCGCCGGUUGCUCUUCAUCGACGAGCCGAGCCGCACACUGUGGGCGGCGGAGGCGGACGGUGGACGCUCGGUUGGCAGGAUGGCGCAUACCCUGCAGUACCCAAUCGAGAUCACGGUGCUAGGUGAGCCCGUGCUGGUGGAUGGUGACGAGCCCGAGGCGAGGUUUCCGCCGCCCCCAUCGCCGCCGUCGGAUGGGGACUCGGGGCCUGGGCGUAGGUCGGGCUCUGCCUCGGCAAGGCGGUCUGGUUUCGGAGGCGAUGGCCGCUCGGGGGCGGGCGCUGCUGGCUCCUCCGCGCCGGCGGCGGCGUCGCCCGCGGUCCCGCAGACCCAGUUUCAAAUUGGGACUGGGGUGGCGUCACCCCCGCAUGCGCUGACGCGGGUCCGGCCCACCCCUGACGUCGCUGGUUUGGAUAUGGUGGGGGAUCCUAUCGUUGAGCGACAAGUGGAAAGUGUUGAUGGUGAGGCAGUCGAGGAGGAUAUGCUCUGCCGCGUUGGGCUGGCAUCCAUGACGGUGGAGAUGCGGUCGCCCCAGGCUUCUGCACAGCUUUUCAGACCUGGGGCCAUGGUGGUGUCUCGGGAUCCGCGGCAACAGCUGCUGGACCGAUUGCCAGCUUCGGUCUGCAUGGCCUGUUGGGCAGGAUCCGAGGGAACGGCUCUCCAGGACGGCGUGAAUCCCUUGGCAGCUGGCGAUGAUUGGGUGAGUGGGCCGCUUCUUAUUGGCUCGGUGGAGAUCCUGUCGGGGACCCCGGCUGUCAUGGCCAGGAGUGGCCGGCCGCUUUCCGAUGGAGGCUUUUUGACCCCGCGGUCUCUUUCCUUGACCCCGGGGUCUGCUUUCUCGCCAUCUGAGGCGGGCGUGCUGCGGAGGCAGGCGGUGGGAUCGGAGCGCUCCUCUGAUUGGUUCUUGGUCAGCCUGUCGCCACCAGACAAGGGCCCGCGUGGGCCAGCCAGCCCUUCACCGGGCCCGCUCCUAUGCAGUCCCCCGCAUGCGGUCUCGGGGCCGGACCAUGGUGGAGCCCAGCUAGAAGAGAGGGAGAGGAGCCCCCUGGCCCAUGCACCAGGUGCAGGCGGCAGCCCUGUGGAGGUUCUCGGGGGGUCACUGAGCGGUGAUGUUUUGCAUGUGCAUGAGGGUGGGGCCCAGCUGCCUACCCCUCUGCCUAUUUCGCCCAGGGCAGCGGCGCAUGCCUUCUGCGAGGAGAUUCAGAGGCAGAUUUCCCCCAUUCUGGCUGCUCCUGAGGCCCCCAAGUCACGCCGGCCGCGGAAGCGCAACGUUCCCGCGGGUUCUCCACGAAGAAGCGCCAGAAUCGCAAAGAGCAAAAGGCCCUUCGUGGCCUCCAAGCAGCAGCAAGUCCUCAUUCGCAAACUUUGCUUGGCCAAUGAAGGGGAGGUGAUCGGGGAGGAGGCGUUGAAGAUGUACGUCGACUUGUUCAGCAGGCCUUUGGCGGACACCCGCAUUGCUGCCAUCUUGGCACUAUUUGGUUGGGAGCCUUCGGUGCUGCCAGUGGUGGUGUUGCUGGAGCUAGAGGAGGCAGCGGCUUGAGUGGAGGCGGCGAGCGGGGCGUGAUGUAGGCCUUUCCCAUGGCUACACACCCCAUCAAGGUGCUGGUGUGGAAUGUCCGCGGUCUUAACGACCCGGCACGAAGAAGCGCGAUUUACCAAGUGGUCACGGCGGCCAAUCCUAGCAUAGUGUGUUUUCAGGAAACUAAGAUGGAAGUUGUAUCUCAGGGUGUGGUGGCACAUUGUUUGGGCAAUAAACUAGCAAAUUUCUACUAUCUCCCGGCCUCUGGUACUCGUGGUGGGAUCCUUUUGGCCUGGGACCCCCUUGUGGUCCAACUCUCCAACCCGCACUACACGGAGAACAUGGUCACCGUGCUCGUUACGCCGGUUGGGACAUCCUCACACUGGUGGAUUUCAGGGGUGUACGGCCCUACCAUGGAUGCGCAAAAGGUUGAGUUCAUGCAGGAGCUAGUUGACAUCCGUGAGCUCAUUGCCGGGCCGUGGGUAGUUUUGGGAGACUUUAACCUCCUUGCGAACCCGGAGGACAAAAGCAAUGAUCACAUCAAUAGGCGCAUGAUGGUGCGGUUUAGGUCUAAGCUCAACUCCCUUGAGCUAAAGGAGGUUUACCUCAAUGGUCGGAGGUACACGUGGUCGAAUGAGCGUGGGCGGGCCACCCUUGAAAAGCUAGAUCAUAUCUUCACCACGGUGGAUUGGGAGGAGCUGCACCCGUCCUGUUUUCUCUCAGCUUUGGGUCCGGCUGUCUCGGAUCACUACCCUCUUCUGCUGGACUUGCAUGCUGACUUUAAGGUGGGCAAGCGCUUUCGCUUCGAAGCCUUCUGGCCGAAGGCCAAGGGGUUUCGCAAUGUGGUGCAGACGGCGUGGAAUUCAGUGCCCUCUGUGGGCAACCCCUAUGUGGUUCUUGAUAGCAAGCUCAGAGUAACUGCGAAGGCUCUGCAAAGUUGGAGCGAAAGGUGGAUUGGAAACGUUAAGCUGCAGAUUGCGCUAGCUCUUGAGGUUAUCCUUCGGUUGGAUGUGGCGAUGGAGAUGAGGCUGCUUUCGAAGGGGGAAGUUGCCCUUAGACGGACCAUGAAAAGAAAGCUCCUCGGCUUGUGCUCUCUGGAGAGGUCUAUCGCGCGUCACCGCUCCAGGUUGACGUGGCUCCGUGAUGGAGAUGCUAGUUCGCAGUUCUUCAAGCAGCACGCCAGCCACAGGAGGCGAUGUAAUGCCAUUAUGAGUCUUAAGUGCAACGACAAUUUCUUCACUGGCCAGGAGGAAAUCGCGGAGGUGGUAGAUGGUUACUAUGAGGAGAUCCUUGGCCGGGCCUCGCAGCGUGCUAAUGGCCUCAAUCUCGACCUCUUGGGUCUCCCACGCCUGGAGCUCGCGCACCUUGAGCUGCCCUUUCUAGAAGAUGAGGUUGCGAAGAUAAUCAAAGCUAUGCCGAGGGAUAAGGCGCCAGGGCCGGAUGGUUUUACGGGACGGUUCUAUGCCAGCUGUUGGGAUAUCAUCAAAGGAGAUUUCAUGAGAGCACUAGAUAGUUUCCAUAGAGGGGACAUGCGUGGGCUGGCUGCCAUCAAUAGGGCAUACGUCACGCUAAUCCCUAAAAAGGAUGGUGCGAAAGAGAUUAGGGAUUUUCGCCCUGUCAGCUUGGUGCACGGUGCAGCAAAGAUCUUUGACAAGAUUUUAUUGGUCCGGCUUACGGACGAUUUGCCCAAGCUCGUGGGAUGCCACCAGAGUGCCUUCGUCCGUGGCCGCUCGAUUCACGAUAAUUUCAUGAUGGUUCAAGGGACUGUUAGGAAACUGCACGUCUGAAGAAUGCCUUUGUCAUGGUUAAGCUUGACAUCUCCAAAGCUUUUGACACGGUGCAGUGGCCCUUUGCUAUUGAGGUGCUCUCUUCUAUGGGUUUUGGACGAAGGUGGAUUGACUGGAUCAUUGGCCUACUCUCUACCUCCUCCACGCGGGUGCUUGUGAAUGGGGUGACGGGCACACAGAUUUGCAAUACAAGAGGUUUCAGGCAGGGUGGGCCUCUUUCUCCCAUGCUAUUCAUCCUGAUGAUGGAGCCGCUGCAACGGCUCUUCUCCCUUGCUGCUGACAGGGGUUUGCUCGCCCCCCUUGCGCGACCCGGACUGCAUCAGAGAGUGUCCAUCUUUGCGGACGAUGUCAUUCUUUUCCUUAAGCCGGUGGAGACCAAGAUGCGACUCUGUGUAGACCUGUUGGAUGCCUUUGGUCAGGUGUCGGGCCUUCGAGUGAAUCUAGCCAAAACUUUGGCCGUGCCCAUAAGGUGUUCAGAAGACCAAUUAAGGUUCAUCGCAGCUUCCUUGGGAUGCACGAUUGGGGCUUUCCCGUGAAAAUAUUUGGGUCUCCCCUUGAGCAUCCGAAAGCUGUCGGCCUUGCAACUAUAUGACUUGGUUCAUCAGGUGGUGCGCAUGCUGCCUCACUGGAAGGGGGCGAUGCUGCCCAUAAGCAGCCGGCUUACGCUUAUCGAGUCUGUUCUUUGCGCUAUCCCGAUACAUGCGAUGCUGGCGCUCAACAUACUGCAGAAGACGAUCAAGGCUAUUUCGAAGAUUUGUCGGGGCUUUCUCUGGUGCGGGAAAGCGGAGGCCAAUGGUGGCCAGUGCAAGGUUGCGUGGAGAUUGGUCUGUGUGCCCAAGCGGGCGGGAGGGCUCGACAUUCCGGACCUCUCAUGGCUUAACCAUGCCCUUCAAGCCCGCUGGCCAUGGCUUCAGCGCACGGAUGCCUCACGACCGUGGGCGGAGUUUGACACUGAGGUUUCCCACGAGGCUUGCCAGAUCUUUCAGGCCGCGACGAGCACGAGAGUUGGCAGUGGCAAGAAUGCGUUGUUCUGGGAAGACAGGUGGAUCCAGGGCAUGAGGGUGCAGGACCUCACGCCAGGCCUGUACAUGCGGGUGCGAAAGAAGGUCUGAGCUGCCCGCACCGUCUUCGAGGCUAUGAGCAAUGGGGCAUGUGCCCUAGAUAUUGGGCCAGAUUUAGACACCACGUUGCUUUCUGAGGUGUUCGAGCUCUGGGAGAGGGUUAUGGAGGUGGAGCUCUGGCCUGAAAUAGAGGAUUCGACUGCAUGGGCUUGGGAGGCGAACGGGAUCUACUCUGCUCGAUCGGCAUAUGUGGCUAAGUUUUGGGGAAUGGAAUCUGCACCGUUUGCGGAGAUGGCCUGGAGCUCAAAAGCGCCGAGGCAGUGCCGAUUUUUUGCUUGGCUGGCGGGAAGAAAUAGAUGCUGGACCUUGGACCGCCUAGCUCGCCGCGGCCUGCCCCACCAGGCUGCUUUCCCCUUGUGCGACCAAAAGCCGGAGACUGUGAAUCAUGUGCUCAUCUAGUGCGUUUUCGCCAGAGUAGUGUGGCACCAGGUGUUUGCCGCGCUCGGUAGACCGGAGCUCACUCCGGAGGCUGGCGACACGGUGGUGGAGUGGUGCAAUGCCUGCGCCCAGAGGGCCCCCUCCAAGAAGGAAGCGAAGGACAUACAGACCAUGGCGUCACUGGUUUUAUGGGAACUCUGGACGCACCGAAAUGCGAUCGUUUUUGAGGGGGCGACCCCUUCUGCCACGGUGGUGAUCGCUAGGGUUGAGUGCGAUGUUGAACCUGUAAUCCUUUGCCUGUUAGGAUAGUUUUUGCUUUCAGUUAGCUGAAUAACCGGCUCUGACUCGUGUGCAUGUACACGCAGAAGCUGUUUUCGUUUUCAGUUAGUAGCUAGCUAGAUUAGUGCGGCCGUUGUGAGCGCAUGGGAUGGCAUGCAGCGUAGGACUCGGCCUGCACUCACCUCGCGCACGACGGGCGACGUGGGAUGGCACGUCCGGUAGGCUCGGCGGCGUGGAGGGUUUUUCGUUUCCCAGUUGAUGUACAAAUAAGCUGAAGAUUAAUGAGAAAAGCUGUUGAACUGUGCGCAGCACAAAAACCUCUGGCGUUUUCGUUUUCCUCUCUUUUCUCCUCGGCGAUCGUGAUCUAGGCCUCGCCGGAGCUCUCGGCUCCAACAAGUGGCAUCAGAGCCGCGUAGCUCCUCGGUGACCAUGGCCGGCUUGACUUCCCCGGCAAACGCUGCAGCCCACCAGCGCGACGGCAGCGACAGUGGUGGCGCGCUCUCGCCGACUCCCGACCGCGGUCGUAGCCGUGGUCGCAGCCGCACCCGCCGGUACGGCAAGGAGGUCGUCGUCCACGAGCGCACGGUCCAGGAGCGUCUCGUCCCGAGCGGCACCACCGUGUGGCCAAUGCUCACGCCGACAAACUACUUCGAGUGGUCUAUGUUGAUGCAGAUUAACAUGGAGGCCAACUUGAUGUGGGACGCGGUGGAAAGGAACCCGUCGAGCGUCCCCAACGACAAGGCGGCGCUGGCGGCCAUUCUGCGAUCCAUACCGCCGGAGAUGGUGGGUGCGAUCGUGGUUAAGAAGACCGCAAAGGAGGCAUGGGAUACGAUCAAGACCAUGCACAUGGGAGUCGCGCGCGUGCACGAGGCCACGGCGCAACGGCUGCGCUCCGAGUUUGAGGCCAUCGCAUUCCGCGACGGCGAGACGCUUGACGCAUUCAGCAUGCGGAUCACUUCACUCGUCAACAACCUGCGCUCGCUCGGCGACACCAUGGAAGAGGUGAGGGUGGUUCGGAAAUUCCUGCGCGUCGUCCCGCCCCGCUACAUGCAGAUCGCCCUCGCCGUCGAGAUGAUGCUCGACCUCAACACGCUUUCAGUUGAGGAGCUCGUCGGCUGUCUGCGCUCUGCGGAGGAGCGCUACCUCACCAACGAUCAAGGUGGAGGCGGCGGGGCUCAGCUCCUGAUGACGGAGGCGCAAUGGCACGCGCGCAAGAAUCAGCGCGGCCAAGGGCAGGGCAGCAGCCAGAACGGCGGCCAAGGAGGCCUCGGCGGACCAGGCGGGUCCGGCGGACAAGGCGGCGGCUCAAGUCGUCGCCGCGGCAAGCCACGUCGAGGCGGUGGCCAAGGCGGUGGCGGAAACGGCGUCCGUGAUGGCGCGCCGCACGGGGAACGCGACAUGUCUCAGGUGAAGUGCUACAAUUGCAAUAAACCUGGGCAUUUCUCGAAGCACUGCACCGAGCCGCGCCGUGAACGCAAGGAUCAGGCGAACCUUGCGGUGGCGGGCAACCAAGAUGAUGAGGCGACUCUUCUGCUCGCCACGGUCACCGCGCUCACGGUCACGACUGAGCGCCCGGUCGAGCGGGUUCUUCUCAACGAGGAACGCUCCCAGGCGCGCGUUGCCCAGGAGGGCGGCACCUGCGACACCUCCUGGUAUCUGGACAUCGGGGCUAGCAAUCAUAUGUCCGGUCGCCGCGAGAUCUUCUCCGAGCUUGACGUGGGAGCGCGGGGGACCGUGAGGCUCGGCGACGGCUCCAGUGUGCAGAUCGAGGGGAGAGGGACGAUCCUCUUCAAGUGCCGCAGCGGGGAACACCUGACGCUUGCAGAGGUAUACUACAUACCCCGUCUGUGCAUCAACAUCAUGAGCAUUGGUCAGAUGAAUGAGCUCGGCUGCGAGACGGUGAUCCACGACAGGGUCCUUCGCCUCCGCAAUCCGGAUGGGCGGCUGCUCGCGCGCGCGGCGCAUAACGUCGAGCGUCUCUACGUCCUUCCCCUGGCGCUAACCAAGCCGGUGUGCCUGCUGGCGAGCGGCGACGACACGGCAUGGCUGUGGCAUUCGCGCUACGGCCACCUGAACUUCAGGGCGCUGCGCGAACUCGCGCGCCUGGAGAUGGCAAAUGGCAUGCCCCUCGUCGACCGCGUCGACCAGUACUGCGACGGAUGCGCCCUGGGCAAGUAGCAUCGGCUCCCAUUCCCGCAGGCCUCGGCGUACCGCGCGGAGCAUGCGCUCGAGCUCGUCCACACGGACCUCUGUGGUCUGAUCGAGCCGGCGACGACCGGAGGUAAUCGAUAUUUCCUGCUGGUAGUUGAUGAUCACUCACGUUACAUGUGGCUGGAGGUGAUCAAAUCCAAGGAUGAGGCGUUUCAACGUUUCAAAAGGAUCAAGGCCCUUGCUGAAGCUGAAUCUGGGCGCCGGCUCAUGGCGUUCCGCUCCGAUCGGGGCGGGGAGUUCAACUCCACAUAAUUCCGUCUGUACUGUGAGGAUGGAGGGAUCAAGCACUGCACCACCGCGCCAUACACGCCGCAGCAAAACAGUGUGGUCGAGAGGCGCAACCAGACCGUGGUGGAGAUGGCGCGGUGCCUGCUCAAGAGCAUGGCCGCGCCCGCCAUGUUUUGGGGCGACGCGGUCAAGACCGCGGUUUACCUGCUCAAUCGAUCCCCCACGCGCAGCGUCGACGGGCAGACGCUGUACGAAGCGUGGCACAAGAAGAAGCCGGCGGUCCAUCACCUGCGCACAUUCCGGUGCGUUGCCCACGUCAAGCGAGUCGGCCCCGACAUCGACAAACUGGCCGACCGCUCAACGCCGAUGAUUUUCAUCGGCUACGCCAAAGGAGCCAAGGCAUACAGGGUGUUUGAUCCGGCCACGAACAAGGUGCACGUCACGCGUGAUGUCGUUUUUGAAGAACAGAGGAAGUGGGACUGGACGCCGGUGCCAGGCGCUGCGGCGACUCCCAAGGACGAACACUUUGUGGUCGUCUACAACGACGAACAGAGCGUCGACAUGCAGCCUUCCUCGUUGAGCUCAGACAGGUCGUCCUCGUCAUCCUCUUCACCAAGCUCCUACGCGCCGGGGAGCUGUCCGACUACACCGAUAACGCCAGCGUGCUCUCCAACCCCUGAUGACGACGGCUGGGCUACGCCGCCUAGUGACGACUGGGAGCGGCACGACCUCGACCAUGCGCCAACGCGCUACCGCAAGAUGACACAUGUACUGGCUGAGGUAGAAGUGGCGAGAGAAGACCAAGUGGGUCUCUGCCUCAUCGCUACUGAAGAACCCGCUGGCGUCGAUGAAGCGCUGGAGGAGGCGUGCUGGAUGCGCGCCAUGGACGCCGAGUUGGUCGCGAUCCGUGAGAACAAGACCUGGGAGCUCGCCGCGCUCCCGCCUGGGCACCGAGCGAUAGGGCUCAAAUGGGUGUUCAAGGUCAAGAGGGAUCCCGCCGGCAAGAUUGUGAAGCAUAAGGCGCGUUUGGUGGCGAAGGGCUACUCGCAGCGGCAAGGCGUGGAUUACGACGAGGUGUUCGCGCCGGUAGCUCGCAUGGAAACAGUGCGGCUACUGCUGGCGUUGGCAGCGCGGCAAGGGUGGCAAGUCCAUCACAUGGACGUCAAGUCGGCAUUCUUGAAUGGUUACCUGAUCGAGGAAGUCUACGUCCACCAGCCACCGGGUUUUGUCAUCGCCGGCGAGGAAGGAAAGGUGCUGCGUCUCCGGAAGGCCUUGUACGGUCUGAAACAGGCGCCCCGAGGGUGGUACGCCAAGCUGGACACGUCGCCUGCGCCGCUCGGGUUCGAGCGCAGCCCCCUCGAGCAUGCGGUGUACAGGAGGAGCACCGGCGCGGGGACACUGCUGGUCGGCAUGUACGUGGACGAUCUGAUCAUCACCGGCAGCAGCAUCGACGACAUCAAGGAGCAGAUGAGCAGUGUGUUUGACAUGAGUGAUCUCGGCCUCCUGAGCUAUUAUCUUGGGAUCGAGGUACGACAGAAGGACGGAGAGAUCACUCUCUGUCAGAGCGCGUACGCCAUGAAGAUCCUCGAAGCUGCUGCGAUGAGGGGGUGCAACGCUAGCGACACUCCUAUGCAGAAUCGUCUCCAGCUGUCCAAGACUGGGGCUGGCGACGCCGUGGAUGCCACACGGUACAGAAGCGUCGUCGGCAGCCUUCGAUACCUUUGCAACACACGACCCGACAUCACCUACGCCGUCGGCAUCGUCAGCAGGUAUCUGGAGGCGCCUGCAGAAUUGCAUUGGGCUGCGGUGAAGCAAAUCCUCCGCUAUGUUAGCGGGACUUUGGAGUAUGGUUGCUGCUACAAGCGGGGAGGUAAUGCAGCGCCGGAGGUGAUCGGCUACAGCGACAGCGACCACGCUGGUAACGUUGAUGAUCGCCGGAGCACGACUAGUGUGGUGUUCUUCCUCGACUCCAGCGCGAUCACGUGGAUAUCUCAGAAGCAAAAGGUCGUCGCCAUCUCGUCUUGUGAGGCUGAGUACAUGGCGGCGGCAUCUGCAGCAUGCCAGGGCGUGUGGCUGUGCAGGCUCCUUGGUGAGCUCACCGGCGACGCGCCAACGACGGCGAAGCUGCGCGUCGACAACAAGUCGGCGAUAGAGCUCAGAAAGAACCCGGUGCAUCACGAAAGAAGUAAGCACAUUGACAUACGAUAUCAUUUCAUUCGUGAAUGCAUUGGAGAUGGCAAGGUGGAUGUCGACCAUGUGGGCACUGACGGACAGCUUGCUGAUGUCCUCACCAAGGCGCCGGGCAGAAUCAAGUUCAUUGAGCUUCGACAGAAGCUCGGCGUCGUUAAGGUGAUCUCAGGGCACAAGGAUUAGGGGGUGAAUUGUUGAGCCUGUAAUCCUUUGCCUGUUAGGAUAGUUUUUGCUUUCAGUUAGCUGAAUAACCGGCUCUGACUCGUGUGCAUGUACACGCAGAAGCUGUUUUCGUUUUCAGUUAGUAGCUAGCUAGAUUAGUGCGGCCGUUGUGAGCGCAUGGGAUGGCAUGCAGCGUAGGACUCGGCCUGCACUCACCUCGCGCACGAGGGGCGACGUGGGAUGGCACGUCCGGUAGGCUCGGCGGCGUGGAGGGUUUUUCGUUUCCCAGUUGAUGUACAAAUAAGCUGAAGAUUAAUGAGAAAAGCUGCUGAACUGUGCGCAGCACAAAAACCUCUGGCGUUUUCGUUUUCCUCUCUUUUCUCCGCGGCGAUCGUGAUCUAGGCCUCGCCAGAGCUCUCGGCUCCAACAUGCGAGGCCCGGGCUUGGAGUACGGCUGGUCUGCUUAAGGGCGACCUCUCCUCCUUCCUUGGGUCCCUAGCUAGGUGGGUAGCGGGCGAAUAGUUGGCUAGCUUGUGGGUGGAUGGGGAGUCCGCAUGUAUUGUAAUCGCAUGUAAGACUCUGGCGGAUGGGGCUCUUUACCCCCUUUCUCUCUAUAAUAUAUGAUACACACGCUUGUGUGUAUCCUCAAAAAAAAAGCAAUAUUGCAUUUUCCCUUAUUUGGUUAGUUAGGCCAACUGAAUUUACUUACCUGUGUCCCUAACAAUCUAUUCCCUUCCUUUGUAGAAUAUUGCGCAUCACGACCAAUUCAGGCCAUGGAGAGAUGAUUUCAAACAGUACAAAGUUACUAUGGUAGAAAUAGAAUGAGAUCACAAACAGAAUUACAGAAGAGUUUGUGCUUUCUCGAUUGGGGUGUCACAGCCCCAGUUUCUCCUUGUUUUACUAGUUUGGUCUCCAUUGUGCAUCUUACACUGGUUGCUAUUGUUAUUUUGUCUCCAAAAACGUAGAGCUGAUGCUACCAGAAAGUAGUAGCAUAUCACUCCCCAAAAUCAAUUAUCUACAGACAGGGGUAUACCAUAGUUUGCUCAGCCUUUUCUUUCAGACAGAAGGUUUAUGGACGACAAUGUAUUGUUUUUAUAUGUGCAACUGCAGUCAUAACGUUGGAGUGCUCUCUGGUUCAUGCAUCUUUCUCAUGGAAGAGCAAGUGUGUACAAAUCAGCCUUUGGAUGGGAAAACCACUUUCUAGCGGAGUUAUAUACAUCUUUUUCUUUGAGUGAAAUAUACGUCUGUUUACAUCUGGGAUCUAGCUGCUGUUGAAUUUGACGUGGGGUUUGCCCAUGCUGAAAUUGAGCACCCUAGAUCUCAUGACGUACCUUUUCUUUUUUGACGGAACCUCGCUGUGCUCCUGAAGAAGAAUAUAUAUAUAGUUGGCUCGAUUUAUACAGAAAACUAGCUUGAAAAAGCAUACAAGGAAUGAUUGAGUAAGGGCCGAGCAUGCAAAAACCCUGAUAACGAAAAGAAAAAGAAAGAUCACCGGCCAAACUUGAC
This 12879-nucleotide long non-coding RNA is filed under the name Triticum aestivum (bread wheat). RNAcentral describes it as "long non-coding RNA (TAES_LNC022866)". Lineage: Eukaryota; Viridiplantae; Streptophyta; Magnoliopsida; Poales; Poaceae. The record is from RNAcentral.